AUGGACGGCGCCAGCGAGGGACGGGAGCAGCCGAUGUUGGAGAAGGAGCUGAUCAGCAGCCACAAGGAGCAUCACUUCACGGCCGGGGAGGUGGUGCGCGAUGUCAUCAUGGGCGUGUCCGACGGCCUUACCGUGCCCUUCGCCCUCGCCGCAGGGCUCUCAGGUGCGAGCGCGGCAUCAUCGCUCGUCCUUACCGCCGGGCUUGCCGAGGUCGCAGCAGGGGCCAUCUCCAUGGGACUCGGGGGGUACCUGGCGGCUAAGAGCGAAGCAGACCAUUAUGAACUGGAGUUAAGAAGGGAGCAAGAGGAGAUCAUCGCGGUCCCUGAAAUCGAGGCUGCUGAGAUCGGAGAGAUCAUGUCGUUUGAGCUGGGACUUGAGAAGCCAUACCCUAGAAGAGCCCUGCAGAGCGCUCUUACGAUAGCGCUCUCCUACGUUGUCGGCGGGUUGGUCCCACUCAUGCCCUACAUGCUCAUUCCCACUGCUCAUGACGCAAUGCGCACAUCGGUCGUGCUCACACUUGUGGCACUCUUCUUUUUCGGCUAUGUCAAGGGCCGCUUCACUGGAAGCCGCCCCCUCUUCAGUGCCCUCCAGACUACUUUUAUCGGUGCAGUUGCUUCUGCCGCGGCAUAUGGAAUCGCCAAAGUUGUGCAAGCCUGA
Molecule: ribosomal RNA, 657 nt
Filed under: Triticum aestivum (bread wheat)
Lineage: Eukaryota; Viridiplantae; Streptophyta; Magnoliopsida; Poales; Poaceae
Description: partial small subunit ribosomal RNA
Source: RNAcentral